GUGGGAAUCUUCCGCAAUGGACGAAAGUCUGACGGAGCAACGCCGCGUGAGUGAUGAAGGUCUUCGGAUUGUAAAGCUCUGUUAAUCGGGACGAAAGAGCCUAGUGUGAAUAAUGCUAGGAAGUGACGGUACCGGAAUAGAAAGCCACGGCUAACUACGUGCCAGCAGCCGCGGUAAUACGUAGGUGGCAAGCGUUGUCCGGAAUUAUUGGGCGUAAAGCGCGCGCAGGCGGAUCUGCCAGUCUGUCUUAAAAGUUCGGGGCUUAACCCCGUGAUGGGAUGGAAACUACAGAUCUAGAGUAUCGGAGAGGAAAGUGGAAUUCCUAGUGUAGCGGUGAAAUGCGUAGAUAUUAGGAAGAACACCAGUGGCGAAGGCGACUUUCUGGACGAAAACUGACGCUGAGGCGCGAAAGCCAUGGGAGCGAACGGGAUUAGAAACCCUUGUAGUCC
RNAcentral lists this ribosomal RNA (449 nucleotides) under uncultured bacterium. Its description in RNAcentral is "partial 16S ribosomal RNA". It matches the Rfam family "Bacterial small subunit ribosomal RNA", at positions 355 to 796 of the family's 1533-position model. The record is from RNAcentral.